UACGAGGGGGGCAAGCGUUGUUCGGAAUUAUUGGGCGUAAAGGGCGCGUAGGCGGUGCGGUAAGUCACCUGUGAAAACUCUGGGCUCAACUCAGAGCCUGCAAGCGAAACUGUGGUGCUGGAGUAUGGGAGAGGUGCGUGGAAUUCCCGGUGUAGCGGUGAAAUGCGUAGAUAUCGUAAGGAAGACCGGUGGCGAAGGCGAGUCUCUGGACAGUUACCGACGCUGAGGCACGAAGGUCAGGGGAGCAAACGGG
RNAcentral lists this ribosomal RNA (253 nucleotides) under uncultured bacterium. RNAcentral describes it as "partial 16S ribosomal RNA". It matches the Rfam family "Bacterial small subunit ribosomal RNA", at positions 524 to 776 of the family's 1533-position model. The record is from RNAcentral.